CAGCAGCCGCGGUAAUACGGAGGGGGCUAGCGUUGUUCGGAAUUACUGGGCGUAAAGCGCACGUAGGCGGCUUGGUAAGUUAGAGGUGAAAGCCCGGAGCUCAACUCCGGAAUUGCCUUUAAGACUGCCGAGCUAGUAGGUGAGAGAGGUAAGUGGAAUUCCGAGUGUAGAGGUGAAAUUCGUAGAUAUUCGGAAGAACACCAGUGGCGAAGGCGGCUUACUGGCUCAUUCUAGACGCUGAGGUGCGAAAGCGUGGGAAGCAAACAGGAUUAGAUACCCCCGUAGUCCCUGUCUCUUAUAC
Molecule: ribosomal RNA, 301 nt
Filed under: uncultured bacterium
Lineage: Bacteria
Description: partial 16S ribosomal RNA
Rfam family: Bacterial small subunit ribosomal RNA
Source: RNAcentral